CGGGAUAUGGCCUAGUUCGGUAAGGCGCUUGUCUGGGGGACAAGAGAUCGCAGGUUCAAAUCCUGCUAUCCCGACCA
RNAcentral lists this transfer RNA (77 nucleotides) under Shewanella benthica. Its description in RNAcentral is "tRNA-Pro". It matches the Rfam family "tRNA". Rfam says of the family: Transfer RNA (tRNA) molecules are approximately 80 nucleotides in length. Their secondary structure includes four short double-helical elements and three loops (D, anti-codon, and T loops). The record is from RNAcentral. Lineage: Bacteria; Pseudomonadati; Pseudomonadota; Gammaproteobacteria; Alteromonadales; Shewanellaceae.